RNAcentral lists this small RNA (410 nucleotides) under Pongo abelii (Sumatran orangutan). Its description in RNAcentral is "processed transcript". Lineage: Eukaryota; Metazoa; Chordata; Mammalia; Primates; Hominidae. The record is from RNAcentral.
CCCUGCCCUUCACCACAGGGCUGAUCUAUGACUCGGUCAUGCUGAAGCACCAGUGCUCCUGCGGUGACAACAGCAGGCACCCGGAGCACGCCGGCCGCAUCCAGAGCAUCUGGUCCCGGCUGCAGGAGCGGGGACUCCGGAGCCAGUGUGAGUGUCUCCGAGGCCGGAAGGCCUCCCUGGAAGAGCUGCAGUCGGUCCACUCUGAGCGGCACGUGCUCCUCUACGGCACCAACCCGCUCAGCCGCCUCAAACUGGACAACGGGAAGCUGGCAGGGCUCCUGGCACAGCGGAUGUUUGUGAUGCUGCCCUGUGGUGGGGUUGGGCCUCUUGCGACUCUCUCUGCCUUCCUCGCCUCUCUUGGUCUGCCUCGCCCUCCCCAUCUCCCCAUCAUGCCCCCCGGCCCCUCCCUA